RNAcentral lists this long non-coding RNA (2667 nucleotides) under Sorghum bicolor (sorghum). RNAcentral's name for it is "long non-coding RNA (SBIC_LNC013339)". Lineage: Eukaryota; Viridiplantae; Streptophyta; Magnoliopsida; Poales; Poaceae. The record is from RNAcentral.
GGAGCCAAGGGUCCUAGGGUUUGGGUGGGGAGUGGCCCAUCGGGUUCCCUAUUCAGUCAUAAGUCAUGGCAGGAGCAUCACUUAAGUCGAAGCAUACGUGCAGAUACGAUGGCAAUGGUAAAUGGUUAACAGCAAAACCAGCCAACCAAAACAAAGGGAGGGUAACCCAAGAGAAGAAACAGUCAAUUCUACGAUAAACACAGAAGAUUGUCGAUAAAUAUGGGAAAUACGCAGAGCAAAGGCGAAAGGAUUUGCUGAAAUGAUCAAUGCACCAAGAAAACUAAAGAGGGAUCUUGUCAGGUGAAGAGAGAAGAGAGGUAGUCGCAGUGAGAGGUGGCUAGUUAGAAUCUCAAUCUAAGAGCAUCUCCAAGAGUUUCCUAAACAUCCUCCUAAUACUUGUUUUUUAGAAAGAUGGGCAAAAACUCUUCUCCAACAACUUCUAAUAUCUACUUCUAAUCUUUUAGGACUUGGCAAAUUCCGGCCUCUUCCGCGUAACUUUGCGCGGACGAUGCGUCGCACGGAUCCAUCGUUCACGUGUGGAAUCCUUCUUCCCGCGCCUUCUGUUGUAGGGCUUCUGCUUCUCACGUACAACCGCUCGUCCAUCCGUUGUAUAGAGGUCGCGGUCUAGGUCGACGAACGAAGCCGCCGAGAACAUAUCAUCGAGGUACGUAGUCUGAUCUACAGUCUACUGCUUUGCCAUGGGUUUGCUACGCCGCCGCCGCCAUGGAUUCGUGCCGGCCGCCGCUACCGUUACCUAUGGGUUUUCCUUGGUCGCUAGCGGCCUGUGCUUGGGAAGUGCUGCCACUUGGGAGGUGCUACCGGCCUUGUCCACGGCCGGCUGGAAGAAGGCCACGGCUCGCUGGGAGGAGAUCACCGAUGCCUGGAAAGGUUUUUGGAAAGGGCAGCAUGAUGGAUGGAGGCGACGGCGUCAUGGGUAGGCGCGGCAACGAAGGGUUUCGUGCGAAAAAAAGAGUGCAGAAAAAAAAGCAAAGUGGGACCAACAUUUGAUUUUUUGGAAGUCAAAUAUUAGGAAUUAUUGGAGAUGAACUUCUUUUUUUCUCCUAAAAUCUUUUUAGGAGGUUGGGAAUAUAGACGUUUUAGGAGAAAUAUUUAGGAAACUCUUGGAGAUGCUCUAAGCAUCUAGCUAAGUAGCAUAGGUCUUUGGCCUAGAAAAAAAAUAAAGAGGCAAGGUCCAAGUCCAAGAAAAGUUAAUCCAGGCAUAUAUAUCUAGCUAAUUAGCAGUCACCAAGCUACCUGUGUUCCUUGUCCUGUCUCACUUAGUUUAUCACUGAAGUCCAAGCAUAAGUGCAGAUGGCAAUGGGUAACAGCAACCAGCGGGUAACCCAGCCAAUAGAAGAAACUGUUAAUUCUACAAUAAAUACUGAAGACUGUUGAUAACGAUGGGCAGCGUGCAGCAAAGGAGAAAGUGGUUGCUGAAAUGAUCAAUGCACCAAGAAAAUUAAACAGACAAGGUAAAAGAAUGUCAAUCUAGGCAUAGCUAAGUAGCUGUCACCAAGCAGGGGCGGAUCGAAAGGGGGGCUGGGUGGGCUCCAGCCCUCUAUGAGCCUGAUUUGUCCACUAAAUUAGUAUUAAUUAACCUUAAAUUCUUAUUAAUCUCUAGUUUUAAUCCUAUAUGUUUACUAUUUAGUCUCUCCUUUGUCCCCAUUAUGGAUCCGCCACUGUCACCAAGCUAUCUAUCAGCGGCGGAGCCAGAAAUUUUUCUUAUUAGCUAGGAAAACUCUCCGCACAAGCUACAUGCUAAUCAAAAGCACCAACAAAAACAGAACCAUGAUUAGAGAGGGUACCACACAACCAUCAAUCACGCUCACCCACCGCUUUUGCAACUAGGUUAGAGGUGUUUGGAUGUAGAGACUAAAUAAAUUUAAUAGGUGUCAUAUCGAAUAUCAUAUGGGAUGAUAAGGUGUUCAGGUACUAAUAAAAAAUUAAAUUAUAGAUCAUCAGUAAUCCGCAAGACGAAUUUAUAAAGCCUAAGUAAUCUGUCAUUAGCAUAUUUUUACUGUAGCAAUCAUAGAUUAAUUUAUUAUUAAUUAUAGACUAAUUAGGCUUAAAAUUUCGUCUCGUAAAUUAGUCGCAAUCUGUGUUUUUAGUUUGGACAGAUAUUGAGAUUAAUUUAGACUAUUUAAAAAUUCAUCUCGUAAAUUACGCCUUGGCUCCUCAUUAGUGACGUGGAUGGGUGUGGAGUAUUUGAAAGGAUUUUGGAUCACCCAUAAACAAAUUAUGGGUUUUAUUGAGUGGAUCUGGGUGGACUACAUGGUGUCAAAAUUGGACUGCCUCUAACCGUGUUCCAGCAGGAAAACACGAGCUCAGGUCACUUCGUAGUUUGCCAUGCUUUUUCCGUGGAUCUUAAUUUUAACUACCAUUUACGUUGUUAGCAAAUUAACAUGCUUUGUUUUCUACUUUGUAGUUUGCCACGAACUGUGCAACAGAAUCAAUGAUUCAUCCUCUGACGGUGGAGAGUCACAUGGAUCUUGACGAAGAAUAGGACUAUAGGAGCAAGCUACCGACAAACAAUUUCGUCAAGCUAGAUAUGGAUGUUGCAUUAGGCAUGCUUCUUCUUAGGGUUAGUUAUUUUGAACUAUUAAUCAGAUCCACCAUUUGUUUAUCUCUUGUCACCUGUACUGAACGUUGUUUUGUAUCGUCCCCAGA